AUGACGGGAGCGACCCCCUCCUGGAGGCGCGCAGGAACUGCGGCUGGCGCGGCCUCCUCCUGGAGGCGCGCAGGAACUGCGGCUGGCGCGACCUCCUCCUGGAGGCGCGCAGGAGCUGCGGCUGGCGCGACCUCCUCCUGGAGGCGCGCAGGAACUGCGGCUGGCGCGACCUCCUCCUGGAGGCGCGCAGGAGCUGCGGCUGGCGCGACCUCCUCCUGGAGGCGCGCAGGAACUGCGGCUGGCGCGACCUCCUCCUGGAGGCGCGCAGGAACUGCGGCUGGCGCGACCUCCUCCUGGAGGCGCGCAGGAACUGCGGCUGGCGCGACCUCCUCCUGGAGGCGCGCAGGAACUGCGGCUGGCGCGACCUCCUCCUGGAGGUGCGCAGGAGCUGUAGCUGGCGCGACCUCCUCCUGGAGGUGCGCAGGAACUGCGACUAGCGCGACCUCCUCCUGGGGGCCGGCGGGCGCUACGGCUCCACGGGUGACGGGGACUGGAACGACUGCUACAGGGCCGACAGGAACGGGGACUGGAACGACCGCUACAGGGCCGACAGGAACGGGGACUGGAACGACCGCUACAGGGUCGACAGGAACGGGGACUGGAACGACCGCUACAGGGCCGGCAGGAACGGGGACUGGAACGACCGCUACAGGGUCGGCAGGAACGGGGUCAGAGACAGGGGUGACCUCUACUUGGCCUACGGGAACGCCCUCAACUUGGCCUACGGGAACGCCCUCAACUUGGCCUACGGGAACGCCCUCAACUUGGCCUACGGGAACGCCCUCAACUUGGCCUACGGGAACGCCCUCAACUUGGCCUACGGGAACGCCCUCAACUUGGCCUACGGGAACGGCCUCAACUUGGCCGACAGGAACAGGAACUGGAACGACCUCAAUUUGGUCGACAGGGACAGGAACUGGAACGACCUCGACAUGGCCGACAGGGACAGGAACUGGAACGACCUCGACAUGGCCGACAGGGACAGGAACUGGAACGACCUCAAUUUGGUCGAUAGGGACAGGAACGACCUCAACAUGGCCGACAGGAACAGGAACUGGAACGACCUCAACAUGGCCGACAGGAACUGGAACGACCUCAACAUGGCCGACAGGAACUGGAACGACCUCAGCAUGGCCGACAGGAACUGGAACGACCUCAACAUGGCCGACAGAAACUGGAACGACCUCAACAUGGCCGACAGGAACUGGAACGACCUCAACAUGGCCGACAGGAACUGGAACGGCCUCUACAGGGCCGACAGGAACAGGAACUGGAACGACCUCAAUUUGGUCGACAGGGACAGGAACGACCUCAACAUGGUCGACAGGGACAGGAACGACCUCAACAUGGCCGACAGGAACAGGAACUGGAACGACCUCAACAUGGCCGACAGGAACUGGAACGACCUCAACAUGGCCGACAGGAACUGGAACGACCUCAACAUGGCCGACAGGAACUGGAACGACCUCAGCAUGGCCGACAGGAACUGGAACGACCUCAACAUGGCCGACAGAAACUGGAACGACCUCAACAUGGCCGACAGGAACUGGAACGACCUCAACAUGGCCGACAGGAACUGGAACGGCCUCUACAGGGCCGACAGGAACAGGAACGACCUCAACAUGGCCGACAGGAACUGGAACGACCUCUACGUGGCCGACAGGAACUAGAACGGCGUCCUCCUCUGAGGAGCCGACAGGAACUGGAACUAGAACGGCCUCAAUAUGGCCGACGGGAACAGGAACGGCGUCCUCCUCUGAGGAGCCGACAGGAACUAGAACGGCGUCCUCCUCUGAGGAGCCGACAGGAACUAGAACGGCCGCAACAUGGCCGACAGGAGCUGGAACGGCCGCAACAUGGCCGACAGGGACUGGAACGGCGUCAACUCCGGAGCUGGCAUGA
Betta splendens (Siamese fighting fish) is the source of this 1902-nucleotide long non-coding RNA. NCBI's taxonomy places the organism in Eukaryota, Metazoa, Chordata, Actinopteri, Anabantiformes, Osphronemidae. The record is from Ensembl.